GGGCGGUGUUCAUUACGUCAUAGAUGGGAACAACACAGACUUCUGCUCCCAGUCCCGUGGAGCUGGCGCUGCUGAUGUUCAAGGGCAAUGCGUGCUUAGAGGGCUUUCAGUGUCUGGGAACCGAUCCAAGUCGGAGGCUUGUUCAUUAUACCUCCCAUGCCGCAGGCAUUCAGAAGGGCUCUCCGCAUUGAAAUUGCAACUUUUUCUCACCUGGCUGCAAAGAGAACCCACUGCGUUUAGAACAGCGCACCAAGGGAGAGAUUUUCUCCCUUCAACAGCAUCCUUUUGGACCUGGCCGAUAAGAUACAUGCAAAAAAGAAGCCCGGCUUGAAGAUUGAGUACGAUGCCAAGAUUGAGCCUGGAACAACCCCACCGUGUCUUUCUUGGGUAACGUGAAUAUCACUCUUGAAUAUGGCCUCAUUAAUCAAAGCCUCAAAUGCUCCGAGAGUUCUGAUGGAAGGGAUGGGGCAACAGGCGCUUUCAUCAUUUCCAUAAUUAAAAAAAAAGUGCUGGAGUCUCUCCCCUUGCUUGGUGCCUCUGGUUACGGGCAGCUGACACCUGCCUUCUGCGUACAUGUUGUUCUUUCCUACCAGUUUCCCUUUGUUACCAAGGAGUGGGCCCCACGUUGCCGCCUUGGUGGGAAGGAAAAUCUUAUGCAAAAU
RNAcentral lists this long non-coding RNA (662 nucleotides) under Chinchilla lanigera (long-tailed chinchilla). Its description in RNAcentral is "lncRNA (ENSCLAG00000023768.1)". The record is from RNAcentral. Lineage: Eukaryota; Metazoa; Chordata; Mammalia; Rodentia; Chinchillidae.